UACGUAGGUGGCGAGCGUUGUCCGGAAUUACUGGGCGUAAAGGGCGCGUAGGCGGCCUGUUAAGUCAGAUGUGAAACCCCCAGGCUCAACUUGGGGAUUGCAUAUGAAACUGAUGGGCUCGAGUGUCGGAGAGGAAAGCGGAAUUCCUAGUGUAGCGGUGAAAUGCGUAGAUAUUAGGAGGAACACCAGUGGCGAAGGCGGCUUUCUGGACGAUAACUGACGCUGAGGCGCGAAAGCGUGGGGAGCAAACAGG
Molecule: ribosomal RNA, 253 nt
Filed under: uncultured Clostridiaceae bacterium
Lineage: Bacteria; Bacillati; Bacillota; Clostridia; Eubacteriales; Clostridiaceae
Also listed under: 1 other name
Description: partial 16S ribosomal RNA
Rfam family: Bacterial small subunit ribosomal RNA
Source: RNAcentral